UUAACACAUGCAAGUCGAACGAAAAGAGGGAAAGAGCUUGCUCUUUCCGGAAUUGAGUGGCAAACGGGUGAGUAACACGUAAACAACCUGCCUUCAGGAUGGGGACAACAGACGGAAACGACUGCUAAUACCGAAUAAGUUCCAAGAGCCGCAUGGCCCAUGGAAGAAAAGGUGGCCUCUACCUGUAAGCUAUCGCCUGAAGAGGGGUUUGCGUCUGAUUAGCUGGUUGGAGGGGUAACGGCCCACCAAGGCGACGAUCAGUAGCCGGUCUGAGAGGAUGAACGGCCACACUGGAACUGAGACACGGUCCAGACUCCUACGGGAGGCAGCAGUGGGGAAUCUUCCGCAAUGGGCGAAAGCCUGACGGAGCAACGCCGCGUGAGUGAUGACGGCCUUCGGGUUGUAAAACUCUGUGAUCCGGGACGAAAAGGCAGAGUGCGAAGAACAAACUGCAUUGACGGUACCGGAAAAGCAAGCCACGGCUAACUACGUG
RNAcentral lists this ribosomal RNA (493 nucleotides) under uncultured bacterium. Its description in RNAcentral is "bacterial SSU rRNA". It matches the Rfam family "Bacterial small subunit ribosomal RNA", at positions 48 to 507 of the family's 1533-position model. The record is from RNAcentral.